GGUACUUUUACCACCGAAUUGUUCACUAGUGACUUUAGAGAAACUCCAGAAGAGCUGCCUUGGCUUUCAGCAAGAGGCCUAGCAAAGACCAUGGCAUGAGGUCUCCUUCUUGGUUUAGCUAACCCACCAGCAUGACCUUACAAACUCUCUUUCCUCCUCCCAUUUUGUCACUGAAUUCCACAGAGCUAAAUAUCUGUUCC
This 200-nucleotide long non-coding RNA is filed under the name Homo sapiens (human). RNAcentral's name for it is "HSALNT0185859". The record is from RNAcentral. Lineage: Eukaryota; Metazoa; Chordata; Mammalia; Primates; Hominidae.